CAAAGCACUUUGAAGAGAGAGUUAAAGAGGACGUGAAACCGGUAAGAUGGAAACGGAUAGAGCCAGCGAAGUCGCCCGUAUUCAGCCAAAGACUCGGGUCUGACAGCUGUCGUGUUUCUAAUCGAGCACGGCAGUUGCCAAGGCCUGUUUCGAGGUGCAUUUGCGGGUGUUUGCGCUGAGACUUGCGGAGCAGCUUCUGGAACCGUGCUUAGAGGCUUCCCUCUGGGUUGUACCUGGGCGCAGCUACAGAUGUUUGCUCUGCUCGUACUUGGGCUUGGCCUACGGACUCGGGCUGCGCCGUUGUUGUCUGGCGGUGGUAACGCAUGCGUUACCUAGCCUGGUAGCGGCGGUUCGGCUUGCUGUCCUCUAGCCCAUUCUCGGUGUAGAAGCUGGUCAUCUCUCCGACCCGUCUUGAAACACGGACCAAGGAGUUUAGCGUAUACGCGAGCCAUUCGGUGCAAAACCGACAGGCAGAAUGAAAGUAAAGGUCCAGUUGCUGGACUGACAUGCGAACGCCACGGCUUCGGCCCUGGUGUGCAGCAUGGUCCCGUUGCGGUCGCUUGCGACGCAGCGGAGACAGAGCGUAUGCGCUGAGACCCGAAAGAUGGUGAACUAUUCCUGAGCAGGACGAAGCCAGAGGAAACUCUGGUGGAAGUCCGAACCGAUUCUGACGUGCAAAUCGAUCGUCUGACUUGGGUAUA
This 701-nucleotide ribosomal RNA is filed under the name Hemicycliophora thienemanni. Its description in RNAcentral is "partial large subunit ribosomal RNA". It matches the Rfam family "Eukaryotic large subunit ribosomal RNA", at positions 367 to 919 of the family's 3401-position model. Lineage: Eukaryota; Metazoa; Nematoda; Chromadorea; Rhabditida; Hemicycliophoridae. The record is from RNAcentral.